CAGCACCUCAAGUGGUCAGGAUGAUUAUUGGGCCUAAAGCAUCCGUAGCCUGCUUUGUAAGUUUUCGGUUAAAUCCAUACGCUCAACGUAUGGGCUGCCGGGAAUACUGCAGCGCUAGGGAGUGGGAGAGGUAGACGGUACUCGGUAGGAAGGGGUAAAAUCCUUUGAUCUAUUGAUGAACACCUGUGGCGAAGGCGGUCUACCAGAACACGUCCGACGGUGAGGGAUGAAAGCUGGGGGAGCAAACCGGAUUAGAGACCCGAGUAGUCC
Molecule: ribosomal RNA, 270 nt
Filed under: uncultured archaeon
Lineage: Archaea
Description: partial 16S ribosomal RNA
Rfam family: Archaeal small subunit ribosomal RNA
Source: RNAcentral